UUUUUUUUUUUUUUUUGAGAGAGAGAGAUAGGUAGCACGCUAUCCGUUUCGUUUAUUUUAUUUAGAAAUAAACUUAGCUNUUUUUGAGAGAGAGAGAUAGGUAGCACGCUAUCCGUUUCGUUUAUUUUAUUUAGAAAUAAACUUAGCUGGAAAUAUAAAUCAACUAGGAUUUGAGCUUGGAACCUCGGGUACCAACCAACAAAUCUUUUGCCACUUGCUCUAGAAACGAUCGGUGUAUUCAUCACUGUUGCAUAAAGGAGAAACAAUAAAUGACAAUUUUAGUAGAUAAAACCUAGAAUUCCUUUGAGCCAUUAAAUAACAAUUUUGAUAAGCACUAGUGUGGGGACAUAGUAUUGCCUGCUUCAAGGGGAAGUACUUCAUGAAUCCCUAUGACAUUUUGGAUUGCAUAUUUAAACUUGUUACGACAAACGCACGGAAAACGAAAAAUGGCGAAUACGAAACACUCAAACCACAAGCAAAAAAUAAAUAUAACAGACACAGAUUUACGUGAAAAAUUCUUUGCAGGGAAAAAACCACGGGCGGCCCGAGCCCUCCGCUACCCACCACAUACAUUCAUUUUUCCUUCACAAUUUAAUUUUUCAAUUUGGUCGCACCGCGAAGCUGUCGGCGAGUCGUAAACUUGAACCUAAGUCGAUAAUAAAUUUCGAGUCAUAUCUAACAAAACUAAUCAAAAUUUUUACUGAUAUACGUAUAUACACAUUAACAAUUUAUAAAGAUAAUAUUGUAACCGACCUGUAACUGUAAUUUUUUUUAAUAUAAUGUAUUGAAUAAUCUGACGUCCGACAGCAUUUGAGUCGAUUACAACUAGAUUCUCAGAUCUUUUAUCGCAUAUUUAUUUUUUUUUUCUUUUCUGCG
Molecule: long non-coding RNA, 876 nt
Filed under: Ananas comosus (pineapple)
Lineage: Eukaryota; Viridiplantae; Streptophyta; Magnoliopsida; Poales; Bromeliaceae
Description: long non-coding RNA (ACOM_LNC001594)
Source: RNAcentral